GACGAACGCUGGCGGCGUGCUUAACACAUGCAAGUCGAACGGUCAGGCCCUUCGGGGUACACGAGUGGCGAACGGGUGAGUAACACAUUGUAGCUCUGCCUUGCACUUCGGGAUAAGCCUGGGAAACUGGGUCUAAUACCGGUUAGGACUCCGGACUGCACGCUCUGGGGUAGAAAGCUUUUGCGGUGUGGGAUGGGCCCGCGGGCUGUCAGCUUGUUGGUGGGGUGAUGGCCUACCAAAGCGACGUCGGGUAGCCGGCCUGAGAGGGUGACCGGCCACACUGGGACUGAGAUACGGCCCAGACUCCUACGGGAGGCAGCAGUGGGGAAUAUUGCACAAUGGGCGCAAGCCUGAUGCAGCGACGCCGCGUGAGGGAUGACGGCCUUCGGGUUGUAAACCUCUUUCAGCACAGACGAAGCGCAAGUGACGGUAUGUGCAGAAGAAGGACCGGCCAACUACGUGCCAGCAGCCGCGGUAA
This 478-nucleotide ribosomal RNA is filed under the name uncultured bacterium. RNAcentral describes it as "partial 16S ribosomal RNA". It matches the Rfam family "Bacterial small subunit ribosomal RNA", at positions 28 to 523 of the family's 1533-position model. The record is from RNAcentral.